RNAcentral lists this ribosomal RNA (254 nucleotides) under uncultured bacterium. Its description in RNAcentral is "partial 16S ribosomal RNA". It matches the Rfam family "Bacterial small subunit ribosomal RNA", at positions 793 to 1055 of the family's 1533-position model. The record is from RNAcentral.
GUCCACGCCGUAAACGAUGGAUACUAGCUGUUGGGGGCAACUUCAGUGGCUAAGCGAAAGUGAUAAGUAUCCCACCUGGGGAGUACGUUCGCAAGAAUGAAACUCAAAGGAAUUGACGGGGGCCCGCACAAGCGGUGGAGCAUGUGGUUUAAUUCGAUGAUACGCGAGGAACCUUACCAAGGCUUAAAUGUAGAUUGACAGGACUGGAAACAGUUUUUUCUCGGACAAUUUACAAGGUGCUGCAUGGUUGUCGU